CGGUUCUUAGCUUAGUGGUAGAGCAUUUGACUGCAGAUCAAGAGGUCACUAGUUUGAAUCUGGUAGAGCCCU
RNAcentral lists this transfer RNA (72 nucleotides) under Ipomoea nil (Japanese morning glory). It matches the Rfam family "tRNA". From Rfam's summary of the family: Transfer RNA (tRNA) molecules are approximately 80 nucleotides in length. Their secondary structure includes four short double-helical elements and three loops (D, anti-codon, and T loops). Further hydrogen bonds mediate the characteristic L-shaped molecular structure. tRNAs have two regions of fundamental functional importance: the anti-codon, which is responsible for specific mRNA codon recognition, and the 3' end, to which the tRNAs corresponding amino acid is attached (by aminoacyl-tRNA synthetases). tRNAs cope with the degeneracy of the genetic code in two manners: having more than one tRNA (with a specific anti-codon) for a particular amino acid; and 'wobble' base-pairing, i.e. permitting non-standard base-pairing at the 3rd anti-codon position. Lineage: Eukaryota; Viridiplantae; Streptophyta; Magnoliopsida; Solanales; Convolvulaceae. The record is from Rfam by way of RNAcentral.